Long non-coding RNA from Micropterus dolomieu (smallmouth bass), 309 nucleotides. RefSeq lists it as uncharacterized. The transcript has 5 exons. Lineage: Eukaryota; Metazoa; Chordata; Actinopteri; Centrarchiformes; Centrarchidae. The record is from RefSeq and is a predicted model, not a curated record.
GUGUGCGGCAUUAGAUGGGAAAUGCUCCAUAAGCUGUGACGAUGAGAACAUUAACUGCUACCUCAUCGACAACAACGGCUUCAUUCUGGUAGCAGAGGACUAUACGCUGACAGGGAAAUUUUUUGGAGAAGCAGAGGGAGCUGUAAUGAGUAAGCUUCUGCAUAUGGGCUCUUUCAAGAGGGUCACUCUAUAUGACUACCAGGCUCUAUGUUGGGUUUUUUCAGAGAGCAGUGACAGUGGACACACACUGUUGGAUCCUUACUUUGCCUUCUUCUCAGCCAUGAAGUGGAUGCUGACCGAGCUUGUAAU